GGGUGCGUAAUACGUGAGAAUCUGCCCUUAGGAGAAGAAUAACUGCUGGAAACGGCUGCUAAAUCUUCAUAUGUCGAGAGAUGAAAUAGCUUAGGCUGCCUAAGGAUGAGCUCACGCCUGAUUAGCUAGUUGGUGAGGUAAUGGCUCACCAAGGCCACGAUCAGUAGCUGGUUUGAGAGAACGAUCAGCCACACUGGGACUGAGACACGGCCCAGACUCCUCCGGGAGGCAGCAGUGAGGAAUUUUCCGCAAUGGGCGAAAGCCUGACGGAGCAAUACCGCGUGAGGGAUGAAGGAUUUUGGUCUGUAAACCUCUUUUCUCAAGAAAGAAGUUCUGACGGUACUUGAGGAAUAAGCAUCGGCUAACUCCGUGCCAGCAGCCGCGGUAAUACGGGGGAUGCAAGCGUUAUCCGGAAUCAUUGGGCGUAAAGCGCCUGUAGGUUGUUUAA
This 448-nucleotide ribosomal RNA is filed under the name uncultured Chrysochromulina. RNAcentral describes it as "bacterial SSU rRNA". It matches the Rfam family "Bacterial small subunit ribosomal RNA", at positions 104 to 583 of the family's 1533-position model. The record is from RNAcentral. Lineage: Eukaryota; Haptophyta; Prymnesiales; Chrysochromulinaceae.